RNAcentral lists this ribosomal RNA (903 nucleotides) under Triticum aestivum (bread wheat). RNAcentral describes it as "partial small subunit ribosomal RNA". The record is from RNAcentral. Lineage: Eukaryota; Viridiplantae; Streptophyta; Magnoliopsida; Poales; Poaceae.
AUGGAUCUUGUCGUGAGUGCCUCAACGAGUGCACUGCGGGCCGUUCUUCCGAAGCUGGCCAAGUUGCUGGGCGACGAAUACAAGCUGCAAACAGGCGUUAAGGACGGGAUCCGGUACCUGCAUGGGGAGCUCGGAAGCAUGCAGGCAGCCUUAGAGAAAGUGGCAGAGGUGCCGGCGGAGCAGCUCGAUCCGCUGGUAAAGCUCUGGGCGCGUAACCUGAGGGACGUGUCCUACGACAUCCAGGACACCGUUGAUUCCUACAUUGUGCGUGUUGACGCUGGUAGUGAGUCUGGAUCCUCCUCCUCCAUGACGUGCUGCGUUAACAUACGGCCACGGGCAUGCAAGGCUCGCCGCGACAUCGCCACAGAUAUCCAGCGCAUCAGAAAGGAAGUUGAGGCACUGAGCAGCCGGCGCGAGAGGUACAAAGUUGACAGUGUGGCAGUCCAAGUGCCAGCCCUGUCUGAUCCACGCCUGCUAGCUCUGUACCAGGACAAGGAAGAGCUCGUUGGCAUCGACCGUUCGAGCAAGCGGAUAAUGGAGUUUCUGUCAAUGGGAUCGGGAGGUGAAGGCACAUCAGGGCAGAAGCUCAAGUUGGUCUCCAUCGUUGGCCCUGGUGGGAUGGGCAAAACCACCCUUGCCAACGCGGCGUAUCAAAAUCUUCAAGGGAAAUUCGAUUGUGCCGCUUUUGUUUCGGUUUCUCUUCGGCCUAAUAUGAAGAAUAUCCUCAGCAGCAUACUUCGUCAAGUCACCAGCAGAAUCAAAGAGGGCCCGGAGGACAAGGAUAGGAGCCUACUUCGUUUGGAAAGCCAAAAACACUAUGGAAACACUGAAACGUGGUCGGAAAAGGAGCUUAUCGACAAAAUCAGACAUGUUCUUGAGAAAAGGAGAUUCUUCCAUGAAUGA